CAUUGGGGGCGGCCUAUAAUGCAGUCGAACGAGAUUAAGGGGCUUGCUCCUUAUGAAAGUGGCGCACGGGUGCGUAACGCGUAUGCAACCUACCUCAAUCAGGGGGAUAGCCCGAAGAAAUUCGGAUUAACACCGCAUAAAAACACAGGAUAGCAUUAUCUAAUGUUCAAAUAUUUAUAGGAUUGAGAUGGGCAUGCGUGUCAUUAGCUAGUUGGCGGGGUAACGGCCCACCAAGGCGACGAUGACUAGGGGAUCUGAGAGGAUGACCCCCCACACUGGUACUGAGACACGGACCAGACUCCUACGGGAGGCAGCAGUAAGGAAUAUUGGUCAAUGGAGGCAACUCUGAACCAGCCAUGCCGCGUGCAGGAAGACAGCCCUCUGGGUCGUAAACUGCUUUUAUUCGGGAAUAAACCUAUUUACGUGUAGAUAGCUGAAUGUACCGAAGGAAUAAGGAUCGGCUAACUCCGUGCCAGCAGCCGCGGUAAUACGGAGGAUCCAAGCGUUAUCCGGAUUUAUUGGGUUUAAAGGGUGCGUAGGCGGCUUAUUAAGUCAGGGGUGAAAGACGGUGGCUCAACCAUCGCAGUGCCUUUGAUACUGAUGAGCUUGAAUGAACUAGAGGUAGGCGGAAUGUGACAAGUAGCGGUGAAAUGCAUAGAUAUGUCACAGAACACCGAUUGCGAAGGCAGCUUACUAUGGUUUUAUUGACGCUGAGGCACGAAAGCGUGGGGAUCAAACAGGAUUAGAUACCCUGGUAGUCCACGCCCUAAACGAUGAAUACUCGCUGUUAGCGAUAUACAGUUAGCGGCUAAGCGAAAGCGUUAAGUAUUCCACCUGGGGAGUACGCCCGCAAGGGUGAAACUCAAAGGAAAUUGACGGGGGCCCGCACAGCGGAGGAGCAUGUGGUUUAAUUCGAUGAUACGCGAGGAACCUUACCCGGGCUUGAAAGUUAGUGAAUGAUCUAGAGAUAGAUCAGUGAGCAAUCACACGAAACUAGGUGCUGCAUGGCUGUCGUCAGCUCGUGCCGUGAGGUGUUGGGUUAAGUCCCGCAACGAGCGCAACC
RNAcentral lists this ribosomal RNA (1063 nucleotides) under bacterium. RNAcentral's name for it is "bacterial SSU rRNA". It matches the Rfam family "Bacterial small subunit ribosomal RNA", at positions 34 to 1103 of the family's 1533-position model. The record is from RNAcentral.